Molecule: ribosomal RNA, 855 nt
Filed under: Triticum aestivum (bread wheat)
Lineage: Eukaryota; Viridiplantae; Streptophyta; Magnoliopsida; Poales; Poaceae
Description: partial small subunit ribosomal RNA
Source: RNAcentral
AUGAAGUUGCCUCCGUGUUCCACCAAUGCCUCCAAGAAACGGCCUUUGAAGCUUAUCAUGACAAUCUUCAAAAGCAGUGGAGUCAUAUUGCUUAUCGUCCUCAUUGUAGCAAUGUUUGCUUGCUGGUAUAGCAGGAGGAGCAAGCCACACCAAGCUAACACAGACUCAUCAUUCUACAAGGGAAGACUGGUGAUCCACGACCAGCAGGUCAUUGUAGCUGUCGAAGUGUUCAAUCUGCAACAGCGUUGUGCAUCUCAAAGUUUUCUUGCAGAAUGCAAGACCCUAAGUCGUGUUCGGCAUCGAGACCUUGUGAAGAUCUUGACAGUCUGCAUCGCCAUUGAUGUGGCAUCUGCACUUGAUUAUCUUCACCAACACAUGCCAUUGCCAAUUAUUCACUGUGAUCUCAAGCCAAGCAACAUUCUCCUUGAUAGUGACAUGGUUACUCAUGUUCGUGAUCUUGGGCUUGCAAGAGCCCUGCCUAAACACCCAAGCGGCUGUUUAGAGAAAUCAAGUGGCUGGGCUACAAUGAGAGGAACAAUUGGCUAUGCUGCUCUAGAGUACGGUUUGGGCAACAAAGUUUCAAUCCUAGGUGAUGUGUACAGCUAUGGGGUACUGUUGCUGGAGAUGUUUACUGGCAAAAGACCAACAGACGGCGAGUUUGGAGAAGCUCUAGGCCUUCACAAGCAUGUCCAAAUGGCACUUCGAGUUCCAGACAGAACCACCAAUUGUUAUCAGAGGACAAAGAUGGAGGAGAAGCAAACACCUCAAACCCUGGCAGGAAAAGAGAUAUAUCAAUUGCUUGCAUCACUUCAAUUCUGCACAUUGGAGUUUCAUGUUCAAAAGAAACUCCAAUAG